GUGCUGGUUUGGGCGGCACAUAUACUAAAAUUGGGAUGAUACAGAGAUUAACAUGCCCCUGUGCCAAGGAUGACAUGCAAAUUCAUGAUGCAUUCCAUGUUUUU
Small nuclear RNA from Trichechus manatus latirostris (Florida manatee), 104 nucleotides. NCBI's taxonomy places the organism in Eukaryota, Metazoa, Chordata, Mammalia, Sirenia, Trichechidae. The record is from RefSeq and is a predicted model, not a curated record.